This 478-nucleotide ribosomal RNA is filed under the name uncultured bacterium. RNAcentral describes it as "SSU rRNA". It matches the Rfam family "Bacterial small subunit ribosomal RNA", at positions 26 to 518 of the family's 1533-position model. The record is from RNAcentral.
AGGACGAACGCUGGCGGCGUGCUUAACACAUGCAAGUCGAGCGACGCUCCUCCUUCGGGAGGAUGACGGAGCGGCGAACGGGUGAGUAACACGUGGGCAACCUGCCCCUAGCUCUGGGAUAACCCCGGGAAAUCGGGACUAAUACCGGAUAUGAAGUCGGACGGCAUCUUCUGACUUGGAAAGUUUUUCGGCUAGGGAUGGGCCCGCGGCCUAUCAGCUUGUUGGUGGGGUAACGGCCUACCAAGGCGACGACGGGUAGCCGGCCUGAGAGGGCGACCGGCCACACUGGGACUGAGACACGGCCCAGACUCCUACGGGAGGCAGCAGUGGGGAAUAUUGCACAAUGGGCGAAAGCCUGAUGCAGCGACGCCGCGUGAGGGAUGACUGCCUUCGGGUUGUAAACCUCUUUCAGCAGGGACGAAGCGAAAGUGACGGUACCUGCAGAAGAAGCACCGGCCAACUACGUGCCAGCAGCCGC